UUCUCAUUUUAUGUUGUCUGAA
This 22-nucleotide microRNA is filed under the name Hyalella azteca. Its description in RNAcentral is "miR-87b". The record is from RNAcentral. Lineage: Eukaryota; Metazoa; Arthropoda; Malacostraca; Amphipoda; Hyalellidae.